Molecule: ribosomal RNA, 265 nt
Filed under: uncultured bacterium
Lineage: Bacteria
Description: partial 16S ribosomal RNA
Rfam family: Bacterial small subunit ribosomal RNA
Source: RNAcentral
UACGUAGGGUGCAAGCGUUAAUCGGAAUUACUGGGCGUAAAGCGUGCGCAGGCGGUUUUGUAAGUUUGUCGUGAAAUCCCCGGGCUCAACCUGGGAAUGGCGAUGAAGACUGCAAGGCUAGAAUCUGGCAGAGGGGGGUAGAAUUCCACGUGUAGCAGUGAAAUGCGUAGAGAUGUGGAGGAACACCGAUGGCGAAGGGCAGCCCCCUGGGUCAAGAUUGACGCUCAUGCACCGAAAGGCGUGGGGACAAACGAGGAUAGAGACC